Chrysemys picta bellii (western painted turtle) is the source of this 187-nucleotide unclassified non-coding RNA. NCBI's taxonomy places the organism in Eukaryota, Metazoa, Chordata, Testudines, Emydidae. The record is from Ensembl.
AUAGAUUUUGUGGAUAAACAGAGAGCUUCAUUCCUAUGUAGCCACAAUAUCUAUACAGGACAGGUAACAGCCAUUCAAAAUUCUCACACCCUGCCCUGACAGUGUGCCUCAGCCAUGACUUGAAGGGACCACUUCUAGGGUUGGGAGCGGAGUUCAGUAUCCAUGGAACUAUAAAUAUUUGACCUGU